Molecule: ribosomal RNA, 514 nt
Filed under: uncultured bacterium
Lineage: Bacteria
Description: partial 16S ribosomal RNA
Rfam family: Bacterial small subunit ribosomal RNA
Source: RNAcentral
GAUGAACGCUGGCGGCGUGCCUAAUACAUGCAAGUCGAGCGAACAGAUGAGAAGCUUGCUUCACUGAUGUUAGCGGCGGACGGGUGAGUAACACGUGGGUAACCUACCUAUAAGACUGGGAUAACUCGGGGAAACCGGGCCUAAUACCGGAUAAUAUUUUGAACCGCAUGGUUCAAUAGUGAAAGACGGUUUCGGCUGUAACUUAUAGAUGGACACGCGCCGUAUUAGCUAGUUGGUAAGGUAACGGCUUACCAAGGCGACGAUACGUAGCCGACCGGAGAGGGUGAUCGGCCACACUGGAACUGAGACACGGUCCAGACUCCUACGGGAGGCAGCAGUAGGGAAUCUUCCGCAAUGGGCGAAAGCCUGACGGAGCAACGCCGCGUGAGUGAUGAAGGUCUUCGGAUCGUAAAACUCUGUUGUUAGGGAAGAACAAAUUUGUUAGUAACUGAACAAGUCUUGACGGUACCUAACCAGAAAGCCACGGCUAACUACGUGCCAGCCGCCGCGGUAA